GGGGGUGUACUUCAGUGGUAGAGUACAUGUUUAGCACGCAUGAGGCCCUGAGCUCCACCCCAGCAUCCUCU
This 71-nucleotide transfer RNA is filed under the name Cavia porcellus (domestic guinea pig). It matches the Rfam family "tRNA". Rfam says of the family: Transfer RNA (tRNA) molecules are approximately 80 nucleotides in length. Their secondary structure includes four short double-helical elements and three loops (D, anti-codon, and T loops). Lineage: Eukaryota; Metazoa; Chordata; Mammalia; Rodentia; Caviidae. The record is from Rfam by way of RNAcentral.